UACGUAGGGUGCAAGCGUUGUCCGGAAUUAUUGGGCGUAAAGAGCUCGUAGGCGGUUUGUUGCGUCGGCUGUGAAAACCUGAGGCUCAACCUCAGGCCUGCAGUCGAUACGAGCAGACUAGAGUGUUGCAGGGGAGACUGGAAGUUCCUGGUGUAGCGGUGAAAUGCGCAGAUAUCAGGAGGAACACCGGUGGCGAAGGCGGGUCUCUGGGCAACAACUGACGCUGGAGGAGCGAAAGCGUGGGGGAGCGAACAGG
This 256-nucleotide ribosomal RNA is filed under the name uncultured bacterium. Its description in RNAcentral is "partial 16S ribosomal RNA". It matches the Rfam family "Bacterial small subunit ribosomal RNA", at positions 524 to 776 of the family's 1533-position model. The record is from RNAcentral.